This 69-nucleotide small nuclear RNA is filed under the name Lepisosteus oculatus (spotted gar). RNAcentral's name for it is "U1 spliceosomal RNA (ENSLOCG00000019271.1)". Lineage: Eukaryota; Metazoa; Chordata; Actinopteri; Semionotiformes; Lepisosteidae. The record is from RNAcentral.
AGAGCGAGGCUCAGCUAUUGCACUCCGGCUGUGCUGAUCCCUGCGAAUUCCCCAAACAUGGGAAUCUCG